Molecule: ribosomal RNA, 465 nt
Filed under: uncultured bacterium
Lineage: Bacteria
Description: partial 16S ribosomal RNA
Rfam family: Bacterial small subunit ribosomal RNA
Source: RNAcentral
GACGAACGCUGGCGGCGUGCUUAACACAUGCAAGUCGUACGGUAAGGCCCUUUCGGGGGUACACGAGUGGCGAACGGGUGAGUAACACGUGAGUAACCUGCCCACAACUUUGGGAUAACGCUAGGAAACUGGUGCUAAUACUGGAUAUGUGCCCCUGCUGCAUGGUGGGGGUUGGAAAGCUCCGGCGGUUGUGGAUGCACUCGCGGCCUAUCAGCUUGUUGGUGGGGUAGUGGCCUACCAAGGCGGCGACGGGUAGCCGGCCUGAGAGGGUGACCGGCCACAUUGGGACUGAGAUACGGCCCAGACUCCUACGGGAGGCAGCAGUGGGGAAGAUUGCACAAUGGGCGCAAGCCUGAUGCAGCAACGCCGCGUGCGGGAUGACGGCCUUCGGGUUGUAAACCGCUUUCAGCAGGGACGAAGCUUUUUGUGACGGUACCUGCAGAAGAAGCACCGGCUAACUACGUG